Molecule: ribosomal RNA, 253 nt
Filed under: uncultured bacterium
Lineage: Bacteria
Description: partial 16S ribosomal RNA
Rfam family: Bacterial small subunit ribosomal RNA
Source: RNAcentral
UACGAAGGGGGCUAGCGUUGCUCGGAAUUACUGGGCGUAAAGGGCGCGUAGGCGGAUAUCUAAGUCGGGGGUGAAAGCCCGGGGCUCAACCUCGGAAUUGCCUUCGAUACUGGAUAUCUUGAGUUCGGGAGAGGUGAGUGGAAUGCCGAGUGUAGAGGUGAAAUUCGUAGAUAUUCGGCGGAACACCAGUGGCGAAGGCGACUCACUGGCCCGAUACUGACGCUGAGGCGCGAAAGCGUGGGGAGCAAACAGG